CAAGAUUGCAAAAGAGAAACGG
RNAcentral lists this non-coding RNA (22 nucleotides) under Arabidopsis thaliana (thale cress). Lineage: Eukaryota; Viridiplantae; Streptophyta; Magnoliopsida; Brassicales; Brassicaceae. The record is from RNAcentral.